RNAcentral lists this long non-coding RNA (311 nucleotides) under Anser brachyrhynchus (Pink-footed goose). RNAcentral's name for it is "lncRNA (ENSABRG00000006970.1)". The record is from RNAcentral. Lineage: Eukaryota; Metazoa; Chordata; Aves; Anseriformes; Anatidae.
GACAUGUGCCAAAACUUCACGGAUCAACAAAAGGAUGCUGGCUGGACAGAUAACAAAGUGACUGCUGCUUCAGGCAAGAAAUGCAGGCUCAGAAGUGUGACUACCCCAGCCAGGGGAGAACGGAGCUCAUGUACCUAGUGAAGUCACAUUUCUGGUACUGAGAGGGAGGGACAAGUAUUGUUUUAAGAUUUUUCUAAGGGUUCUUGGAUGUGCACCCCCCAUACACACAUUUUGCUUCUUGACUGAGGAGAGACCUUAGAAAAGACAAAGGCAUCUGGAGCAAGGAAGGGAAAAGAAGCAAUAAAGGGGCA